UAGGGAAUCUUCGGCAAUGGGGGCAACCCUGACCGAGCAACGCCGCGUGGGUGAAGAAGGUUUUCGGAUCGUAAAGCUCUGUUGUAAGUCAAGAACGAGUGUGAGAGUGGAAAGUUCACACUGUGACGGUAGCUUACCAGAAAGGGACGGCUAACUACGUGCCAGCAGCCGCGGUAAUACGUAGGUCCCGAGCGUUGUCCGGAUUUAUUGGGCGUAAAGCGAGCGCAGGCGGUUUGAUAAGUCUGAAGUUAAAGGCUGUGGCUCAACCAUAGUUCGCUUUGGAAACUGUCAAACUUGAGUGCAGAAGGGGAGAGUGGAAUUCCAUGUGUAGCGGUGAAAUGCGUAGAUAUAUGGAGGAACACCGGUGGCGAAAGCGGCUCUCUGGUCUGUAACUGACGCUGAGGCUCGAAAGCGUGGGGAGCGAACAGGAUUAGAUACCCUGGUAGUCCACGCCGUAACGAUGAGUGCUAGGUGUUGGAUCCUUUCCGGGAUUCAGUGCCGCAGCUAACGCAUUAAGCACUCCGCCUGGGGAGUACGACCGCAAGGUU
Molecule: ribosomal RNA, 548 nt
Filed under: uncultured bacterium
Lineage: Bacteria
Description: bacterial SSU rRNA
Rfam family: Bacterial small subunit ribosomal RNA
Source: RNAcentral